RNAcentral lists this ribosomal RNA (427 nucleotides) under uncultured bacterium. Its description in RNAcentral is "partial 16S ribosomal RNA". It matches the Rfam family "Bacterial small subunit ribosomal RNA", at positions 355 to 774 of the family's 1533-position model. The record is from RNAcentral.
UGGGGAAUAUUGCACAAUGGGCGCAAGCCUGAUGCAGCCAUGCCGCGUGUAUGAAGAAGGCCUUCGGGUUGUAAAGUACUUUCAGCGGGGAGGAAGGGAGUAAAGUUAAUACCUUUGCUCAUUGACGUUACCCGCAGAAGAAGCACCGGCUAACUCCGUGCCAGCAGCCGCGGUAAUACGGAGGGUGCAAGCGUUAAUCGGAAUUACUGGGCGUAAAGCGCACGCAGGCGGUUUGUUAAGUCAGAUGUGAAAUCCCCGGGCUCAACCUGGGAACUGCAUCUGAUACUGGCAAGCUUGAGUCUCGUAGAGGGGGGUAGAAUUCCAGGUGUAGCGGUGAAAUGCGUAGAGAUCUGGAGGAAUACCGGUGGCGAAGGCGGCCCCCUGGACGAAGACUGACACUCAGGUGCGAAAGCGUGGGGAGCAAACA